RNAcentral lists this ribosomal RNA (206 nucleotides) under uncultured bacterium. Its description in RNAcentral is "partial 16S ribosomal RNA". It matches the Rfam family "Bacterial small subunit ribosomal RNA", at positions 568 to 774 of the family's 1533-position model. The record is from RNAcentral.
UGCGUAGGUGGCAGGGUAAGUUUGAUGUGAAAUCUCCGAGCUUAACUCGGAAACUGCAUUGAAUACUAUCUUGCUUGAGGGUUGGAGGGGGGACUGGAAUUCUCGGUGUAGCAGUGAAAUGCGUAGAUAUCGAGAGGAACACCAGUGGCGAAGGCGAGUCCCUGGACAACUCCUGACACUGAGGCACGAAAGCUAGGGAGCAAACA